This 862-nucleotide long non-coding RNA is filed under the name Piliocolobus tephrosceles (Ugandan red Colobus). Its description in RNAcentral is "lncRNA (ENSPTEG00000021638.1)". The record is from RNAcentral. Lineage: Eukaryota; Metazoa; Chordata; Mammalia; Primates; Cercopithecidae.
AUAUAUUUUUCUUUCUGUUUGUGUCCAUUUAUGUAAAAUUUCAGAAAAAAUGAGGAUAUCGGUCCAUAUUUGUUAAUUAAAGAAGAAUUGACUUGUUUCAUAUCAAGUGUUGAGCGUAACAACGCAGAAAUAAAGGGAGAAAUAAUAUUAAAAUGUGGGAACCAGGAAUAUUUAGAUGUUGAUAUGACUGUCGAAUUAGAUAAAGAAUGUUGUGACAUUUAUGCAACUCAUUUUGCAAAUAUAAAAAAAAGGAAUAAUAAUUUGAAUAUUAAAUUUUCUUGUACACAUGAAAUCAGUAAAAUUGUAACCUACUACUAUAAAAAUAUGAUAUGUCCCUUUGUUGGUACUUAUAAUUUUAAAAAAAUUAACGAAAAGCAAUCAGAAAUUUGUGUAACUUUAAAAAGGAAUUACAAAAUACCUAAUAUAAAAAUAGGGAAAAAAUCAAAUGACUAUUUUUUUUUAAAAUUACCAUUCCCUACUGAAGUUGUUAACUCCAAUUUAAAAUGCGACAUUGGAAAGAUAGAGUUUGAUAAUAAGAAGGAAAUAAAAUGGCUAUUAAACGACUUUACAAAAGAGCAAGCAAUAUUGUCUGGGCUUAUAGAAUUUAGUAACAUGGAACAAUUUCCGGGGCAGCUAGCUGGAUAUAUUAAUAUUUUUUACAAAUCAAAUUACUCUAAAACUAAAAUUACUCAUAUAAAUAAAAAAGUUGUACCUAACUAUUAUUUUCAAUCAAAACAAAUAAAGAUAAUAAGUUCCUAACAAUUUAUAAAUUUCCUCAUUUUGCUGAUUUUUAUAUGUCUGUUAAAGUUUUUUAAAAAGUGAUUUAAAUAAACGUCCUAUAUGAAAAAAAAAAAAAAAAAAA